UAAGUACUCUCUCCGUCCGGAAAUACUUGUCAUCAAAAUAAGUAAAAAGGGAUGUAUCUAGACGUAUAUUAGUUCUAGAUACAUCCCCUUUUUAUCUAUUUUAAUGACAAGUAUUUUCGGACGGAGGGAGUACUGU
Triticum aestivum (bread wheat) is the source of this 136-nucleotide non-coding RNA. The record is from Rfam. NCBI's taxonomy places the organism in Eukaryota, Viridiplantae, Streptophyta, Magnoliopsida, Poales, Poaceae.